Molecule: ribosomal RNA, 327 nt
Filed under: uncultured eukaryote
Lineage: Eukaryota
Description: partial 18S ribosomal RNA
Rfam family: Eukaryotic small subunit ribosomal RNA
Source: RNAcentral
CCCUUAGAUGUUCUGGGCCGCACGCGCGCUACACUGACGAAUGCAACGAGCUUAUAACCUUGGCCGAAAGGUCUGGGUAAUCUCCAAAUUUCGUCGUGAUGGGGAUAGAUUAUUGCAAUUAUUAAUCUUCAACGAGGAAUGCCUAGUAAGCGCAAGUCAUCAGCUUGCGUUGAUUACGUCCCUGCCCUUUGUACACACCGCCCGUCGCACCUACCGAUUGGAUGGUCCGGUGAGAAUUUCGGAUUGUAGAUACGUCGCUUUUAUUAGGGAUGUGUCCGCGAGAAGUUAUUCAAACCUUACCAUCUAGAGGAAGGUGAAGUCGUAACA